Erpetoichthys calabaricus (reedfish) is the source of this 864-nucleotide long non-coding RNA. RefSeq lists it as uncharacterized. NCBI's taxonomy places the organism in Eukaryota, Metazoa, Chordata, Cladistia, Polypteriformes, Polypteridae. The record is from RefSeq and is a predicted model, not a curated record. The transcript has 2 exons.
UAUUUUACAUCUCUCUAUUAUAAAAAAAAUCCUGGGAGAGAAAGACUAGGGAGACAAGACACUUAAAAGACCCGCGAGACGAAAGAGAUUGGCCACGGAGCAUCUCGCGGGGACCUUAAACAUGAGGCUUUAUGCCAAGAGAUUGACUCUGGACCAUCUCGUGGGGACGUAGAACAUGAGAUUCUUGCCAGACACGCCCUACUUACAACCAAUAUCAAAUAAGACCACGGGCAGCAAAACACUCAGUCAUGUAAAGGAUUUGAGCACACACAGAUCCAAGGUCUCAGCACAUAUAAAGCGUAUAAGGACAAUACGUUAUAGAUGAAAUGUUGACGACUAAGUGAAGAAGAAAGCAGCGCAAGAAAGAAUAAUCUAGGUGCAAAUUCAGAAAAUAAGGAAAGUAAUAAUCAGCCCGGAACAAGUGGAAUUGAAAAAAGCACAUCCAAUCGGGCUCAGAAUUAAAAGACAAAGAGUAAAAGACAAAGUAGAACUUCAUAAAGACGUUCAAAAACUUUGGCGCUAUAUACAUGCAGAGCAGGUUAGAGAUUAUGAAAGCAGUGGAAUUCGAAAGGCUCAAAAAAACGGUGCAAUACAAAUGCAGAGAAAGUUAAAGAAUAUGAAAGCAGGAAAAUUAGAAAGUAUCAAAAAAAGAAAGUAAAGAUCGCAGUAGCGCAAACAAAUGGACAUUAUUACUCAAAAAAUGGGAAAACAAUCACCACGGACCAGGUGUCAUUGAAAAAAAGCAGGACAAAGUGAGGGCAGAAAUAAAAGACAAAGAGUAGAAAACAAAGUUAAACGUCAUAAAGAGGUUAAAGAACAAGGGGGCCAAACACAUGCAGAGCAGAUUAUAGAUAAUGAAAACAG